RNAcentral lists this ribosomal RNA (119 nucleotides) under Triticum aestivum (bread wheat). The record is from RNAcentral. Lineage: Eukaryota; Viridiplantae; Streptophyta; Magnoliopsida; Poales; Poaceae.
GGAUGCGAUCAUACCAGCACUAAAGCAUUGGAUGCCAUCAGAACUCCGAAGUUAAGCGUGCUUAGGCCAGAGUAGUACUAGGAUGGGUGACCUCCUGGGAAGUCCUCGUGUUGCAUUCC